Molecule: ribosomal RNA, 253 nt
Filed under: uncultured bacterium
Lineage: Bacteria
Description: partial 16S ribosomal RNA
Rfam family: Bacterial small subunit ribosomal RNA
Source: RNAcentral
UACGAAGGGGGCUAGCGUUGCUCGGAAUCACUGGGCGUAAAGGGCGCGUAGGCGGCCAUUCAAGUCAGGGGUGAAAGCCUGUGGCUCAACCACAGAAUUGCCUUUGAUACUGGUUGGCUAGAGACCGGAAGAGGUAAGUGGAACUGCGAGUGUAGAGGUGAAAUUCGUAGAUAUUCGCAAGAACACCAGUGGCGAAGGCGGCUUACUGGUCCGGUUCUGACGCUGAGGCGCGAAAGCGUGGGGAGCAAACAGG